UGGAGGUAUGGGUACAUGUGUUGGAGGUAUGGGUACAUGUGUUUAAGGUAUGGGUACAUGUGUUGGAGGUAUGGGUACAUGUGUUUGAGGUAUGGGUACAUGUGUUUAAGGUAUGGGUACAUGUGUUUGAGGUAUGGGUACAUGGGUUUGAGGUAUGGGUACAUGUGUUUAAGGUAUGGGUACAUGUGUUUGAGGUAUGGGUACAUGUGUUUGAGGUAUGGGUACAUGUGUUGGAGGUAUGGGUACAUGUGUUGGAGGUAUGGGUACAUGUGUUGGAGGUAUGGGUACAUGUGUUUGAGGUAUGGGUACAUGUGUUUGAGGUAUGGUAACAAAAGCUUCAAGUUGUGUUAUUCUAGUCUAAGCAUGGGUCUGUAGUGUUCAAGUAACUGGUAAAAACUGUAAUAAGAACCUGGAUAUCAAUCAAUCAAUCAAAUGUAUUUAUAAAGCCCUUUUUCCAACAGCAGUUGUCACAAAGUGCCUUACAGAGACACCCGACCUUAAACCCCAAAGAGCAAACAACAGUAGUGUUGAAUUUCAGUGGCUAAGAAAAACUCCCUAAGAAGGUAGAAUUUUAGGAAGAAACCUAGAGAGGACCCAGGCUCAGAGGGGUGACCAGUCCUCUUCUGGAUAAUAUUGUAGGGGUCAUCAUGGAAACAUUAGGCCAGUGCAAACUUUGACUGUGUUAUUAGACAUAGGGUCUGAAAGGGUUAGGGUUUAUGCAGUAAAGGUUAGGGUUAAUGCAGUAAAGGUUAGGGUUAG
Molecule: long non-coding RNA, 759 nt
Organism: Esox lucius (northern pike)
Lineage: Eukaryota; Metazoa; Chordata; Actinopteri; Esociformes; Esocidae
Source: Ensembl